CCUACGGGUGGCUGCAGUGGGGAAUAUUGCACAAUGGGCGCAAGCCUGAUGCAGCCAUGCCGCGUGUGUGAAGAAGGCCUUCGGGUUGUAAAGCACUUUCAGCGGGGAGGAAGGCGGUGAGGUUAAUAACCUCAUCGAUUGACGUUACCCGCAGAAGAAGCACCGACUAACUCCGUGCCAGCAGCCGCGGUAAUACGGAGGGUGCAAGCGUUAAUCGGAAUUACUGGGCGUAAAGCGCACGCAGGCGGUCUGUCAAGUCGGAUGUGAAAUCCCCGGGCUCAACCUGGGAACUGCAUUCGAAACUGGCAGGCUAGAGUCUUGUAGAGGGGGGUAGAAUUCCAGGUGUAGCGGUGAAAUGCGUAGAGAUCUGGAGGAAUACCGGUGGCGAAGGCGGCCCCCUGGACAAAGACUGACGCUCAGGUGCGAAAGCGUGGGGAGCAAACAGGAUUAGAUACCCUUGUAGUC
Molecule: ribosomal RNA, 465 nt
Filed under: uncultured Klebsiella sp.
Lineage: Bacteria; Pseudomonadati; Pseudomonadota; Gammaproteobacteria; Enterobacterales; Enterobacteriaceae
Description: bacterial SSU rRNA
Rfam family: Bacterial small subunit ribosomal RNA
Source: RNAcentral